UUAGAGUUUGAUCCUGGCUCAAGACGAACUCUGGCGGCGCGCCUAACACAUGCAAGUCAAACGGAGCUUAUAGAGCUUGCUUUUUAAGCUUAGUGGAGAACGGGUGAGUAACGCGUGAGUAACCUGCCCUAGAGUGGGGGACAACAGUUGGAAACGACUGCUAAUACCGCAUAACCCCACGGUACCGCAUGGCACUGAGGGAAAAGGAUUUAUUCGCUUUAGGAUGGACUCGCGUCCAAUUAGCUAGUUGGUGAGGUAACGGCCCACCAAGGCGACGAUUGGUAGCCGGACUGAGAGGUUGAACGGCCACAUUGGGACUGAGACACGGCCCAGACUUCUACGGGAGGCAGCAGUGGGGGAUAUUGCACAAUGGGGGAAACCCUGAUGCAGCGACGCCGCGUGAGGAAGAAGGUUUUCGGAUUGUAAACUCCUGUCGUUAGGGACGAUAAUGACGGUACCUAACAAGAAAGCACCGGCUAACUACGUGCCAGCAGCCGCGGUAAAACGUAGGGUGCAAGCGUUGUCCGGAAUUACUGGGUGUAAAGGGAGCGCAGGCGGGAAGACAAGUUGGAAGUGAAAACCAUGGGCUCAACCCAUGAAUUGCUUUCAAAACUGUUUUUCUUGAGUAGUGCAGAGGUAGAUGGAAUUCCCGGUGUAGCGGUGGAAUGCGUAGAUAUCGGGAGGAACACCAGUGGCGAAGGCGGUCUACUGGGCACCAACUGACGCUGAGGCUCGAAAGCAUGGGUAGCAAACAAAAUUCGAUCCCCUGGUAGUCCAUGCCGUAAACGAUGAUUACUAGGUGUUGGGGGAUUGACCCCCUCAGUGCCGCAGUUAACACAAUAAGUAAUCCACCUGGGGAGUACGACCGCAAGGUUGAAACUCAAAGGAAUUGACGGGGGCCCGCACAAGCAGUGGAGUAUGUGGUAUAAUUCGAAGCAACGCGAAGAACCUUACCAGGUCUUGACAUCCGAUGCAUAGCACAGAGAUGUGUGAAAUCCUUCGGGACAUCGAGACAGGUGGUGCAUGGUUGUCGUCAGCUCGUGUCGUGAGAUGUUGGGUUAAGUCCCGCAACGAGCGCAACCCUUAUUGCCAGUUACUACGUUAAGAGGACUCUGGCGAGACUGCCGUUGACAAAACGGAGGAAGGUGGGGAUGACGUCAAAUCAUCAUGCCCUUUAUGACCUGGGCUACACACGUACUACAAUGGCGUUAAACAAAGAGAAGCAAGACCGCGAGGUGGAGUAAAACUCAAAAACAACGUCUCAGUUCAGAUUGCAGGUUGCAACUCGCCUGCAUGAAGUCGGAAUUGCUAGUAAUCGCGGAUCAGCAUGCCGCGGUGAAUACGUUCCCGGCCCUUGUAC
This 1360-nucleotide ribosomal RNA is filed under the name uncultured bacterium. RNAcentral's name for it is "16S ribosomal RNA". It matches the Rfam family "Bacterial small subunit ribosomal RNA". The record is from RNAcentral.